Molecule: ribosomal RNA, 467 nt
Filed under: uncultured bacterium
Lineage: Bacteria
Description: bacterial SSU rRNA
Rfam family: Bacterial small subunit ribosomal RNA
Source: RNAcentral
UUGAACGCUGGCGGAAUGCUUUACACAUGCAAGUCGAACGAGGUCCAGGGUGUAGCAAUACACCUGAAGACCUAGUGGCGAGCGGGUGCGUAACACGUGAGGAACUUGUCCCGGUCUCUGGGAUAACAGUUGGAAACGACUGCUAAUACCGGAUGACGUCGGAGCAUCGCAUGGUGCGCUGACGAAAGGGUUACUGGAUCGGGAGAGCCUCGCGGCCUAUCAGCUUGUUGGUGGGGUAACGGCCCACCAAGGCAUCGACGGGUAGCUGGUCUGAGAGGAUGAUCAGCCGCACUGGGACUGAGACACGGCCCAGACUCCUACGGGAGGCAGCAGUGGGGAAUCUUGCGCAAUGGGCGAAAGCCUGACGCAGCAACGCCGCGUGCGGGAUGAAGGCUCUCGGGUUGUAAACCGCUUUCAGCAGGAACGAAAAUGACGGUACUUGCAGAAGAAGGUGCGGCCAACUAUGU